This 465-nucleotide ribosomal RNA is filed under the name uncultured bacterium. Its description in RNAcentral is "partial 16S ribosomal RNA". It matches the Rfam family "Bacterial small subunit ribosomal RNA", at positions 28 to 507 of the family's 1533-position model. The record is from RNAcentral.
GACGAACGCUGGCGGCGUGCUUAACACAUGCAAGUCGAACGGAAAGGCCCUGCUUGCAGGGUACUCGAGUGGCGAACGGGUGAGUAACACGUGGGUGAUCUGCCCUGCACUUCGGGAUAAGCCUGGGAAACUGGGUCUAAUACCGGAUAGGAGCCAUUUUUAGUGUGAUGGUUGGAAAGUUUUUUCGGUGUAGGAUGAGCUCGCGGCCUAUCAGCUUGUUGGUGGGGUAAUGGCCUACCAAGGCGGCGACGGGUAGCCGGCCUGAGAGGGUGGACGGCCACAUUGGGACUGAGAUACGGCCCAGACUCCUACGGGAGGCAGCAGUGGGGAAGAUUGCACAAUGGGCGCAAGCCGGAUGCAGCGACGCCGCGUGGGGGAUGACGGCCUUCGGGUUGUAAACUCCUUUCGCUAGGGACGAAGCUUUUUGUGACGGUACCUAGAUAAGAAGCACCGGCUAACUACGUG